AGUGAACGCUGGCGGCAGGCCUAACACAUGCAAGUCGAGCGGCAGCGCGGGGGCAACCCUGGCGGCGAGCGGCGGACGGGUGAGGAAUUCGUCGGAAUCUGCCUUUUUUUGGGGGAUAACGUAGGGAAACUUACGCUAAUACCGCAUCCGUCCUACGGGAGAAAGUGGGGGACCGCAAGGCCUCACGCAGAAAGAUGAGCCGACGACCGAUUAGCUAGUUGGUGGGGUAAAGGCCCACCAAGGCGACGAUCGGUAGCUGGUCUGAGAGGAUGAUCAGCCACACUGGGACUGAGACACGGCCCAGACUCCUACGGGAGGCAGCAGUGGGGAAUAUUGGACAAUGGACGCAAGCCUGAUCCAGCCAUGCCGCGUGUGUGAAGAAGGCCUUCGGGUUGUAAAGCACUUUUGUCCGGAAAGAAAUCCCUGGAGCUAAUACCUUCGGGGGAUGACGGUACCGGAAGAAUAAGCACCGGCUAACUUCGU
RNAcentral lists this ribosomal RNA (483 nucleotides) under uncultured bacterium. RNAcentral's name for it is "partial 16S ribosomal RNA". It matches the Rfam family "Bacterial small subunit ribosomal RNA", at positions 29 to 506 of the family's 1533-position model. The record is from RNAcentral.